AUUCCGGUUGAUCCCGCCGGAGGCCACUGCUAUUGGGAUUCGACUAAGCCAUGCGAGUCUAUGGUUUCGGCCAUGGCGGAC
RNAcentral lists this ribosomal RNA (81 nucleotides) under Methanococcus maripaludis. RNAcentral's name for it is "partial 16S ribosomal RNA". It matches the Rfam family "Archaeal small subunit ribosomal RNA", at positions 1 to 86 of the family's 1478-position model. Lineage: Archaea; Methanobacteriati; Methanobacteriota; Methanococci; Methanococcales; Methanococcaceae. The record is from RNAcentral.